This 468-nucleotide ribosomal RNA is filed under the name uncultured bacterium. RNAcentral describes it as "partial 16S ribosomal RNA". It matches the Rfam family "Bacterial small subunit ribosomal RNA", at positions 28 to 507 of the family's 1533-position model. The record is from RNAcentral.
GACGAACGCUGGCGGCGUGCCUAACACAUGCAAGUCGAACGGAAAGGCCCUGCUUUUGCGGGGUGCUCGAGUGGCGAACGGGUGAGAAACACGUGAGUAUCCUGCCCUUGACUUUGGGAUAUCUUCAGGCAACCGCGGAUAAUACCGGAGAGCAGCUCCUGCUGCAUGGUGGGGGUUGGACAGCUUCGGCGGUGGUGGAUGGACUCGCGGCUUAUCAGCUUGUUGGUGGGGUAGUGGCUUACCAAGGCUUCGACGGGUAGUCGGCCUGGGAGGGUGACCGGCGACAUUGGGACUGAGGUACGGCCCAGACGCCUACGGGAGGCAGCAGGGGGAAAUAUUGCACAAUGGGCGGAAGCGUGAUGCAGCAGCGCCGCGUGCGGGAUGACGGCCUUCGGGUUGUGAACCGCUGUCGCCUGUGACGAAGCGUGAGUGACGGUAAUGGGUAAAGAAGCACCGGCUAACUACGUG